Molecule: ribosomal RNA, 998 nt
Filed under: uncultured bacterium
Lineage: Bacteria
Description: bacterial SSU rRNA
Rfam family: Bacterial small subunit ribosomal RNA
Source: RNAcentral
UGGGGGAUAUUGCGCAAUGGGGGCAACCCUGACGCAGCAACCCCGCGUGAAGGAUGAAGGUUUUCGGAUUGUAAACUUCUUUUAUUAAGGACGAAACUUGACGGUACUUAAUGAAUAAGCUCCGGCUAACUACGUGCCAGCAGCCGCGGUAAUACGUAGGGAGCAAGCGUUGUCCGGAUUUACUGGGUGUAAAGGGUGCGUAGGCGGCUUUGCAAGUCAGAUGUGAAAUCUAUGGGCUCAACCCAUAAACUGCAUUUGAAACUGUAGAGCUUGAGUGAAGUAGAGGCAGGCGGAAUUCCCCGUGUAGCGGUGAAAUGCGUAGAGAUGGGGAGGAACACCAGUGGCGAAGGCGGCCUGCUGGGCUUUAACUGACGCUGAGGCUCGAAAGCGUGGGGAGCAAACAGGAUUAGAUACCCUGGUAGUCCACGCCGUAAACGAUGAUUACUAGGUGUGGGGGGACUGACCCCUUCCGUGCCGCAGCAAACGCAAUAAGUAAUCCACCUGGGGAGUACGACCGCAAGGUUGAAACUCAAAGGAAUUGACGGGGGCCCGCACAAGCAGUGGAGUAUGUGGAUUAAUUCGAAGCAACGCGAAGAACCUUACCAGGUCUUGACAUCGUAUGCAUACCUCAGAGAUGAGUGAAAUCUCUUCGGAGACAUAUAGACAGGUGGUGCAUGGUUGUCGUCAGCUCGUGUCGUGAGAUGUUGGGUUAAGUCCCGCAACGAGCGCAACCCUUACUGUUAGUUGCUACGCAAGAGCACUCUAGCAGGACUGCCGUUGACAAAACGGAGGAAGGUGGGGAUGACGUCAAAUCAUCAUGCCCCUUAUGACCUGGGCCUCACACGUACUACAAUGGCUGUCAACAGAGGGAUGCAAAGCCGCGAGGUGGAGCGAACCCCUAAAAGCAGUCUUAGUUCGGAUUGUAGGCUGCAACCCGCCUACAUGAAGUCGGAAUUGCUAGUAAUCGCAGAUCAGCAUGCUGCGGUGAAUACGUUCCC